GUUGGGGUAGCCGCAGGCAGGCUGGUAGAGGAUGAAAGAGCACUGGGUGGAGGCGGGUGCUGCUGGGAGUCAGGCUUGGGGUGUGGGUGCCGAUAUGUGCCUCGUGAGCUUGGCCCUCCUGCCACCUGCGUGGUCUCCAGGGUACGCACCUGGGCAGUGCACCUGCUGCCAGGGCCGUUGGGGGAGUUUCUGGCUCUCCCAAGGGCGUCUCAAUUGGGCUCCCCUAGAAGAGGUCUGAGACAGGAUUUGUCCAUCUGGAAGGUCAGAAAACAACAAGCACAGGGUAGGGCAGCCAAUAAAGCAGGAAGGAUCUGCGGGGACACAUGGCCAUAUCAGGGCCACGUGCUUGGUGACAGCAGGCAGGGAAGACCAUGCAUCUUCAGAGGAGCCAGACACCUAGCACAGCGUCGGGCCCAGGAGACCUGAUGAGUUCUGACGGCUGAAUGAGGACCGUGGUCAGCAGAGCAGGUUGCCUCUAGUUGUUCUUUCCAAUGGGAUGUUUCCUGUUGUCUUUUCUUUCAGACUGGAUCUCCAGGGACCCCCAUCUAGACGGGAGGACCUCUGGCACUCCAGGUCAGGCUGCGUGGGAGGCUCCUGCCCUGGGAUCUCCUCCCCCGGGUACACCCCUGUGGAAGAGGCUAGUCCCAGGCAGGACUGGCGGGAGGAGAAGAGCAGGGGUCCCCUCCUGGGAUCUCACCCUCCCUACACGGGCAAGAAAGGAGACUGACAGGAGAAGAUGCCACAGCAGCUCAGUGAGGAAAGCAUUUGGGGACACGAUUGGAAAACGAAGCCUUGGAAUAGCUAUUUCUUGGAAAGUCUUUGGAAGAAAUGUAACGACGAUUUAUCAAUUCCAGGGACAGUUGACUUUGGUUCACCACCUGCUCUUUCUCCACUGGGAAGAAACUCAGUGUUUUCUGGAAAAAAAGAAUGGAAUUGAUGCUGACAUGGUUUGAGAAAUGGAGAAGGUACUAAACAAGGCUUGUUUCUCUCAUUUCUAUGUCCCUUUUAAAAGGAUGUGUGCUAUUCAAUUAGUAAAUUCAAUUAAAAUUGAUUGAGAGCCCCCAGACA
RNAcentral lists this long non-coding RNA (1068 nucleotides) under Marmota monax (woodchuck). The record is from RNAcentral. Lineage: Eukaryota; Metazoa; Chordata; Mammalia; Rodentia; Sciuridae.